CAAUAGAUACCCGGGUAGUCCACGCCGUAAACGAUGAGUGCUAAGUGUUAGAGGGUUUCCGCCCUUUAGUGCUGCAGCUAACGCAUUAAGCACUCCGCCUGGGGAGUACGGUCGCAAGACUGAAACUCAAAGGAAUUGACGGGGGCCCGCACAAGCGGUGGAGCAUGUGGUUUAAUUCGAAGCAACGCGAAGAACCUUACCAGGUCUUGACAUCCUCUGACAACUCUAGAGAUAGAGCGUUCCCCUUCGGGGGACAGAGUGACAGGUGGUGCAUGGUUGUCGUCAGCUCGUGUCGUGAGAUGUUGGGUUAAGUCCCGCAACGAGCGCAACCCUUGAUCUUAGUUGCCAGCAUUUAGUUGGGCACUCUAAGGUGACUGCCGGUGACAAACCGGAGGAAGGUGGGGAUGACGUCAAAUCAUCAUGCCCCUUAUGACCUGAGCUACACACGUGCUGCAAUGGAUGGUACAAAGGGCUGCAAGACCGCGAGGUCAAGCCAAUCCCAUAAAACCCAUUCUCAGUUCGGAUU
This 526-nucleotide ribosomal RNA is filed under the name uncultured bacterium. RNAcentral's name for it is "bacterial SSU rRNA". It matches the Rfam family "Bacterial small subunit ribosomal RNA", at positions 776 to 1299 of the family's 1533-position model. The record is from RNAcentral.